RNAcentral lists this ribosomal RNA (497 nucleotides) under uncultured bacterium. Its description in RNAcentral is "partial 16S ribosomal RNA". It matches the Rfam family "Bacterial small subunit ribosomal RNA", at positions 28 to 507 of the family's 1533-position model. The record is from RNAcentral.
GACGAACGCUGGCGGCGUGCCUAAUACAUGCAAGUAGAACGCUGAAGAGAGGAGCUUGCUCUUCUUGGAUGAGUUGCGAACGGGUGAGUAACGCGUAGGUAACCUGCCUUGUAGCGGGGGAUAACUAUUGGAAACGAUAGCUAAUACCGCAUAACAAUGGAUGACACAUGUCAUUUAUUUGAAAGGGGCAAUUGCUCCACUACAAGAUGGACCUGCGUUGUAUUAGCUAGUAGGUGAGGUAAUGGCUCACCUAGGCGACGAUACAUAGCCGACCUGAGAGGGUGAUCGGCCACACUGGGACUGAGACACGGCCCAGACUCCUACGGGAGGCAGCAGUAGGGAAUCUUCGGCAAUGGGGGCAACCCUGACCGAGCAACGCCGCGGGAGUGAAGAAGGGUUUCGGAUCGUAAAGUUCUGUUGUAAGUCAAGAACGGGUGUGAGAGUGGAAAGUUCACACUGUGACGGUAGCUUACCAGAAAGGGACGGCUAACUACGUG